UACGUAGGGGGCGAGCGUUGUCCGGAUUUAUUGGGCGUAAAGAGCUCGUAGGCGGUUCGAUAAGUCGGACGUGAAAUCUCCACGCUCAACGUGGAGGGGCCGUUCGAUACUGUCGUGACUCGAGUCCGGUAGGGGAGUGUGGAAUUCCCGGUGUAGCGGUGAAAUGCGCAGAUAUCAGGAAGAACACCAAUGGCGAAAGCAGCUCUCUGGGACGGUACUGACGCUGAGACGCGAAAGCGUGGGGAGCGAACAGG
Molecule: ribosomal RNA, 254 nt
Filed under: uncultured bacterium
Lineage: Bacteria
Description: partial 16S ribosomal RNA
Rfam family: Bacterial small subunit ribosomal RNA
Source: RNAcentral